AAUGAACGUUGGCGGCGUGGAUUAGGCAUGCAAGUCGUGCGAUAACCCCGCAAGGGGGGAAAGCGGCGAAAGGGAGAGUAACGCGUGGGUACCUGCCCCUUGGUCCGGAAUAGCUGCGGGAAACUGCAGGUAAUGCCGGAUAAUAUCCUCGGAUCAAAGGUGUGAUUCCGCCGAGGGAGGGGCCCGCGUUCUAUUAGCUAGUUGGUAGGGUAAUGGCCUACCAAGGCGACGAUGGAUACCGGGUGUGAGAGCAUGACCCGGCUCACUGGGACUGAGACACUGCCCAGACACCUACGGGUGGCUGCAGUCGAGAAUCUUCGGCAAUGGGCGCGAGCCUGACCGAGCGACGCCGCGUGCGGGAUGAAGGCCUUCGGGUUGUAAACCGCUGUCGUAGAGGAGGAAAUGCCAUGGGGUUCUCUCCAUGGUUUGACCUAUUCUAGGAGGAAGGACGGGCUAAGUUCGUGCCAGCAGCCGCAGUAA
This 480-nucleotide ribosomal RNA is filed under the name uncultured bacterium. RNAcentral describes it as "partial 16S ribosomal RNA". It matches the Rfam family "Bacterial small subunit ribosomal RNA", at positions 28 to 523 of the family's 1533-position model. The record is from RNAcentral.